GACGAACGCUGGCGGCGUGCUUAACACAUGCAAGUCGAACGGAAAGGCCCUGCUUUUGUGGGGUGCUCGAGUGGCGAACGGGUGAGUAACACGUGAGUAACCUGCCCUUGACUUUGGGAUAACUUCAGGAAACUGGGGCUAAUACCGGAUAGGAGCUCCUGCUGCAUGGUGGGGGUUGGAAAGUUUCGGCGGUUGGGGAGGGACUCGCGACUUAUCAGCUUGUGGGUGGGGUAGUGGAUUACCAAGGCUUUGACGGGUAGCCGGCCUGAGAGGGUGACCGGCACGAUUGGGAUUGAGAUGAGGCACGGACCCCUAGGGGAGGCAGCAGUGGGGAAUAGUGCAAAAUGGGCGGAAGCCUAAUGCAGCAACGCCGCGUGCGGGAUGACGGCAUUCGGUUUGUAACCCGUUUCCGCCUGUGACGAAGAGUGAGUGACGGUAAUGGAUAAAGAAGCACCGGCUAACUACGUG
Molecule: ribosomal RNA, 468 nt
Filed under: uncultured bacterium
Lineage: Bacteria
Description: partial 16S ribosomal RNA
Rfam family: Bacterial small subunit ribosomal RNA
Source: RNAcentral